Molecule: long non-coding RNA, 1163 nt
Filed under: Coturnix japonica (Japanese quail)
Lineage: Eukaryota; Metazoa; Chordata; Aves; Galliformes; Phasianidae
Description: lncRNA (ENSCJPG00005012449.1)
Source: RNAcentral
GACAUGUAGCCUCCAACUGCAGAAGUCACUCCGGGUGUCUUUUGUAUUCCCCAGCAGAAGCAAUGGGAGUCGUUACGGGAACAUCUCCAGCAAUUAACCAGUGCAAUGUCCUCCUUUCCCUGAGGCAGCUCGUCGUGGCUGGCAGUCUGUCUGCAUUUGCUCCCUUGACAAUUUGGUGAUUUCAGAGGUGAAUAAAUACUCAGAUAUUGUCCACGUAUUUCUACAGGCAGGUCUUCUGUGUAGUUGAAAUGUAGGCUAUAAUAGUGUUCCCAUGCAAUAGUACAGCGUACAGUGGUGGACAGGCAGUGUGCCUGUGUUUGCAUGAAAAAGGGAUUUUGUCAGAGACAGAAGUGUCCCUGCUAGAGGGGCACCAUGUCACUAAAGCUGGUCUGCUAGGUUGGGUUUUUUGUUUAAUUACUUGAUCUAAUCUGGAAGUCUGUGGACCACUUAAAAUUUUACCUGCUCUGAGUCUCAGAUUUCUUCGGAUAUUUACUGUUAUUUUUUUCCCUGUAUGCUUUCUGAGCAGCAUUAUUCUUUUCUUUCUUUUUUUUUUUUUUCCUCUUGAUUCUGCAGUCUGCUCAAGCCGCUGGUUGAGCAUUAGCUUUGCUUUAGGAUGGCUGUGGAUGAUAUGGUUUAUUACCAGUUCAACGUGUGUUACCCAGCCAUCUUGAAAAGCAAUGAAUUUUGGGAAGACAAUGCUCACAGGGUUGCGCUGCUUGUACACCUAACAUAACUCUAGAGAAGAAAAAGGGCUCAAAGCUUCUUACAGGAGCAUUGAGAACUCCCUCUGGUUGGAUUCCCAAACUGCUCUGCAGGUUGCUGGCUACAGCAGACUACCAAAACAAAUCUCUUACCAUGAUCAAGGUCAGAGCCAGGUCAGUCAUUCACAGAAUAUUACAUUUCUUCUUGGAAGCAGGAAGCAUUUGAUAUUUGAUUUCCCUGUGCGCCACUCUUUGAUGGAUUUUCCUUUUCUUUCCUGCAGAGGGAAGAAUCUGUUAUGUUAAAACUGUUAUGUGUAUUUACAUAUAGUGACUGAUAUAUAUUUAAUACUGAUAGUGUCCUGGAAAAGCAUUAAGGAAAUGCAUCUUCUGGCUCUGCAAAAGUAUGUAGUAGGCUAUUCUGCUGGAGUUGAAGGUAAUUCUUUAUGGAAAAGUACAUGCACA